AGUGAACGCUGGCGAUAGGCCUAACACAUGCAAGUCGAACGGCAGCACAGUAAGAGCUUGCUCUUACGGGUGGCGAGUGGCGGACGGGUGAGGAAUACAUCGGAAUCUACUUUUUCGUGGGGGAUAACGUAGGGAAACUUACGCUAAUACCGCAUACGACCUACGGGUGAAAGCAGGGGAUCUUCGGACCUUGCGCGAUUGAAUGAGCCGAUGUCGGAUUAGCUAGUUGGCGGGGUAAAGGCCCACCAAGGCGACGAUCCGUAGCUGGUCUGAGAGGAUGAGCAGCCACACGGAAACUGAGACACGGUCCAGCCUCCUACGGGGGGCAGGGGGGGGGAAUUUUGGAAAAGGGGCGCAAGCCUGAUCCAGCCAUCCCGGGGGGGUGAAGAAGGCCUUCGGGUUGUAAAGCCCUUUUGUUGGGAAAAAAAAGCAGCAGGUUAAAACCCCGCUUUUCUGACGGUACCAAAAAAAAAAGCACCGGCAAACUUGGG
Molecule: ribosomal RNA, 491 nt
Filed under: uncultured bacterium
Lineage: Bacteria
Description: partial 16S ribosomal RNA
Rfam family: Bacterial small subunit ribosomal RNA
Source: RNAcentral